UACAGAGGGGGCAAGCGUUAUUCGGAAUUAUUGGGCGUAAAGGGCGCGUAGGCGGUAUGGCAAGUGGAAGGUGAAAUCCCUCGGCUUAACCGAGGAACUGCCCUCCAAACUGCUUUACUUGGGGCCGGGAGAGGUGAGUGGAAUUCCCAGUGUAGCGGUGAAAUGCGUAGAUAUUGGGAGGAACACCAGUGGCGAAGGCGGCUCACUGGACCGGUUCUGACGCUGAAGCGCGAAAGCGUGGGGAGCAAACGGG
RNAcentral lists this ribosomal RNA (253 nucleotides) under uncultured bacterium. Its description in RNAcentral is "partial 16S ribosomal RNA". It matches the Rfam family "Bacterial small subunit ribosomal RNA", at positions 524 to 776 of the family's 1533-position model. The record is from RNAcentral.